Long non-coding RNA from Cyprinus carpio carpio, 1356 nucleotides. The record is from Ensembl. NCBI's taxonomy places the organism in Eukaryota, Metazoa, Chordata, Actinopteri, Cypriniformes, Cyprinidae.
AUUACUGACAGGUGUAGCACGCGUUGCUUUUUGUAGUCGCUGAAAAAUGACGCAACCGGAGCGUAUAAAAGAGCCCGUCCCCCGCAUGACGUUCUCUUGAGUCGUUGCUAUCGCUUGACGAGAACCAUCUUCUCAUCAUGAGAGCGAAGGUAAGUACAUUUUUCUUAUAUAAGUGUAAUCGAGUGUCUCAUUAUCUGGCUAGUCUUGCUAGCAUCUUCAGGGAUAAUAUAGUGUAAAUUACGCUACUGUUUGUUGUUUAACUGAAUAUUUUACUGUAAGCUUACUUUUAACCAUGUAGAAUGGUCACUUAACUGAGAGGUUUAGUGUGGUAUUUUGUAGUGUUAUAUAACGUACUCGGGCCUACUGUGCUAGCCUGCUAACACACUGUCGCAGAGGAUAUUGUUACCAGAUUGAACUUGCAGUCACUGCAUAUUGUUUUUUGCCCUUUUUAUUGUUUGCUUAUUUACGUUGGUAAAGUGGUUUAUAAACGUUGAUCUUAUCGCCUUUUUGUUUCUUAAAUAUUCCGCGCGAGCGGCCAUGCUGCAUGGUGAAAAUGCAGCCGAUAGCGCCAGUUGCGAAUGCGCAUGUGUGGGUUUAAUAAAUUACAAUGGUUUUUAACUGCCUAAUCCCAGUUUAUUAAUGUUUUUACCUUUCUUGCAGUGGCGAAAGAAGCGCAUGCGCAGGUAAAUGUGUAACUAUAUCAGAGCUGCAUCUUCUGGUCUGUCCCUUUGGAAUGGGCUUGAAGUGAUUGAAUCAUGUUUUUGUUCGUUUAAGGCUGAAGCGUAAAAGGAGAAAGAUGAGGCAGAGGUCAAAGUAAACUGGACCCUGUUUGCUGAAGCUGAGAGUGCUCCUCCACUUCAAUCUCCUCAGCAAGAGUCUGCUGGAAGCCCAACUGAAGCUCCACUCAUCCACCAUCUGUGAGGCCUGCUUUCUUCUGAACGAGGAUUUGGUUUUCCAUCACCUGGUUCUGCAGAAGCAUCCUGGUCUUGAUGACCAUGUGAACUGUUUUGGACAUUCCUCAGACCUGUCAGCUCAGCGUGCUUUUGUUCAUGUCUUCAAUAAAUCUUUUGGUUUAAAGAAUCCUUUUGCCUAAUGUUUUCUUUUGAAUGAAGUUAUUGGGUUUUAUUCGGGCUGUAUAAAAUUAUAAGAUCAAACUUGGGUAUUGCAGGAGCCAGUAGUGUUGGAAGGCACCAUACAUCUAGAAGGCUUUAAUUCCUGCCUUAGUGUAUUUAACUUGUGCUUGUCGCUUUUCCCUUGUGCUAGAACUUCUUAACCUAGCCUAAAUCAGCUUUUAAGUCUCUUAUUGCGUUACUUCUAGUCUAUGGGCUUUUAUAGCAUGCUAUAAUAAACUUCGCC